AAUUGGAGGGCAAGUCUGGUGCCAGCAGCCGCGGUAAUUCCAGCUCCAAUAGCGUAUAUUAAAGUUGUUGCAGUUAAAAAGCUCGUAGUUGAAUUUCGGGAUCAAUAUUUCGGUCAUGCCGUUGGUAUGCACUGUUAUCAUUGAUUUCUCACCUUCUAAAGAACCGUAAUGCCAUUAAUUUGGUGUUACGGGGAAUUAGGACUGUUACCUUGAAAAAAUUAGAGUGUUUAAAGCAGGCUCACGCUUGAAUACAUUAGCAUGGAAUAAUGAAAUAGGACAUCCGAUUCUAUUUUGUUGGUUUCUAGGAUCGAUGUAAUGAUUAAUAGGGAUAGUUGGGGGCAUUAGUAUUCAAUUGUCAGAGGUGAAAUUCUUGGAUUUAUUGGAGACUAACUACUGCGAAAGCAUUUGCCAAGGAUGUUUUCAUUAAUCAAGAACGAAAGUUAGGGGAUCGAAGACGAUCAGAUACCGUCGUAGUCUUAACCAUAAACUAUGCCGACUAGGGAUCGGAUGAUGUUAAUUUUUUAAUGACUCAUUCGGCGCCUUACGGGAAACCAAAGUGU
Molecule: ribosomal RNA, 560 nt
Filed under: uncultured Glomus
Lineage: Eukaryota; Fungi; Glomeromycota; Glomeromycetes; Glomerales; Glomeraceae
Description: SSU rRNA
Rfam family: Eukaryotic small subunit ribosomal RNA
Source: RNAcentral